RNAcentral lists this ribosomal RNA (253 nucleotides) under uncultured bacterium. RNAcentral describes it as "partial 16S ribosomal RNA". It matches the Rfam family "Bacterial small subunit ribosomal RNA", at positions 524 to 776 of the family's 1533-position model. The record is from RNAcentral.
UACGUAGGGGGCAAGCGUUGUCCGGAUUUAUUGGGCGUAAAGAGCGUGUAGGCGGCCAGGUAGGUCUGCUGUGAAAACUCGAGGCUCAACCUCGAGACGUCGGCGGAAACCAUCUGGCUAGAGUCCGGAAGAGGAGAGUGGAAUUCCUGGUGUAGCGGUGAAAUGCGCAGAUAUCGGGAAGAACACCCGUGGCGAAGGCGGCUCUCUGGGACGGUACUGACGCUGAGACGCGAAAGCGUGGGGAGCGAACAGG